UCGAUCUAGGUGUAAGUUACGGUCGCAUGCGACACGUGCUUUUCAAUAGUUCGGUCCAGUUAAUGCUCUCGUACUCCUUCCCCAUGUAAAAGCCGGUCAUCUAUCCGACCCGUCUUGAAACACGGACCAAGAGUUUAUCGUGUGCGCAAGUCUUUGGGUGUUAAAAACCUAAAAGCGAAAUGAAAGUAAAUGGCUCUUUAGGAGUCUGAUGUGCGAUCUUGUAAAAAAGUGCAGCAUGGCCCCAUUCUAACUGUUUACAGUAGGGUGGCGGAAGAGCGUACGCGGUGAGACCCGAAAGAUGGUGAACUAUUCCUGAGCAGGACGAAGCCAGAGGAAACUCUGGUGGAAGUCCGAAGCGGUUUCUGACGUGCAAAUCGAUCGUCUGACUUGGGUAUAGGGCGAAAGACUAAUCGAACCAUCUAGUAGCUGGUUCCCUCUGAAGUUUCCCCCAGGAUAGCUGGAGCUCACGAGUAGUUAUACUCGGUAAAGCGAAUGAUUAGAGGACUUGGGAACGAAAUGUUCUUAACCUAUUCUCAAACUCUAAAUGGGUAUGAUGUCAAAGUUGCUUGAUUUUGAAACUUUGGCGUUGAAUACGAGCUCCAAGUGGGCCAUUUUUGGUAAAGCAGAACUGGCGAUGUGGAUGAACCAAACGCGGAGUUGCGGUGCCAAAGUGCCCGCUCAUUAGACCCCAUAAAAGGUGUUGGUUGAUACAGACAGCAGGACGGUGGCCAUGGAAGUCGGAAUCCGCUAAGGAGUGUGUACAACUCACCUGCCGAAUCAACUAGCCCUGAAAAUGGAUGGCGCUGGAGCGGGCCACCUAUACUCUGCCGUCAUAUGCUUGUAUUUUUGAGUCUUGCAAUGACGUGUAAGAGGGUCGUAGUGGUUGUGUUGAAGGCUUUGGGUGUGCACCCAGCUGGAGCUUCCACUAGUGCAGAUCUUGGUGGUAGUAGCAAAUAUUAAGUGAGAUCCUUGAAGACUGAAGUGGAGAAGGGUUCCACGUGAACAGCAGUUGAAUGUGGGUCAGUCGAUCCUAAGGCACCGGCUAAAGCCGUCUAGACACUGCGGGGAGAUGAGAUACUUAACGGUAUUUUGUCCACCCGGUUGCCGAAAGGGAAGUGGGUUAAUAUUCCCACACCAGGCAUGGGAGAUGGUGAUCCGCAAGGAUUACUUUGCGCGGUGACGCAAACGAACUCGUAGACCUCGUGUGGAGUCCGGGCCAGAGUUCUCUUUUCUGGUUUAAGAGAUCAUGUCCCUGGAAGUGGCUCAGCCUGAGAUGGGAUGCUGGUCUCGUAAAGCGCAGCGGUUCCUGUUGUGUCUCGUGUGCUCCACAUGAGCCGUGAAAAUGCGAGGGAGGCCAAUUUAAAAUCUCCUGCCUGAUCGUACCCAUAUCCGCAGCAGGUCUCCAAGGUGAACAGCCUCUAGUCGAUAGAAUAAUGUAGGUAAGGGAAGUCGGCAAAUUAGAUUCGUAACUUCGGGAAAGAAUUGGCUCUAAAGGUUGGGUCAAUCGGGCUGUUGUGUGAAACAGGUGGACUUUGCUCGUGGCUGCUUGCGCUUCCUUUCGGGGCGCGCUUGUGGACUAGUAGUGAGGACUGCUUGUGGAGCGCUUCAGCUGCGUGCUAUUUCGCAAGAUAUAGUACUUCGAUUGGCGCUGAACAACCAGUUUAGAACUGGCACGAACUCCGGGAAUCCGACUGUUAAUUAAAACAGAGGAGACGGAUGGUCCUUGCAGGACGUUGACCGUGUCUGAUUUCUGCCCAGUGCUCUGAAUGUUAAGCCAAGGAAACUUGAUUAAGCGCGGUAAACGGCGGGAGUAACUAUGACUCUCUUAAGGUAGCCAAAUGCCUCGUCGGCUAACUACCGACGCGCACGAAUGGAUCAACGAGAUCCCACUGUCCCUAUCUACUAUCUAGCGAAACCACAGCCAAGGGAACGGGCUUGGCAAAUUUAGCGGGAAAGAAGACCCUGUUGAGCUUGACUCUAGUCUGACUUUGUGAAGAAUCAUGAGAGGUGUAGCAUAAGUGGGAGUCGCAAGACAACAGUGAAAUACCACUACUUUCAUCGAUUCCUUACUUAAUCGGUAAAACGGGAGUUGUGUCUACGGACCUUCAUUUUGUUUUAAGACUAGCCACUCGGUGUUGGUUGACUCGCGCCGAUGACAUUGUCAGGCGGGGAGUUUGACUGGGGCGGUACAUCUGUCAAAUUGUAACGCAGGUGUCCUAAGGCGAGCUCAGAGAGGACGGAAACCUCUCGUUGAGCAAAAAGGCAAAUGCUUACUUGAUCUUGAUUUUCAGUACGAAUACAGACCGCGAAAGCGUGGCUUAUCAUCCUUUUGAGUUUGUAAAGUUUACAGCAAGGGUGUCAGAAAAGUUACCACAGGGAUAACUGGCUUGUGGCGGCCAAGCGUCCAUAGCGACGUCGCUUUUUGAUCCUUCGAUGUCGGCUCUUCCUAUCAUUGCGAAGCAGAAUUCGCCAAGCGUUGGAUUGUUCACCCACCAAUAGGGAACGUGAGCUGGGUUUAGACCGUCGUGAGACAGGUUAGUUUUACCCUACUAAAUACUUGUUGCUAUGAUGGUAAUCCUGCUUAGUACGAGAGGAACCGCAGGUUCAGACAUUUGGUUCAUGUGCUUGGUCGAUAGGCCAAUGGCGCGAAGCUACCAUCUGAGGGAUUAUGACUGAACGCCUCUAAGUCAGAAUCCGCCCAGUCAUGAUAGCAAUAUAUAUCGCUCUCCGGUGUCGGAAGGCAAAAUGUAUGCCACUUUUGUGGUAGUACAAGCCCAGUAUCUGGCAUUUUCUUUCUACUAUAAUUGGUAGUUGGUUGCUAAAAGCUUAGCACUCCUCGUGCAGGUGUAACGUCGGGGCGCAAAAUCACUUGUAUACGACUUGAAUACUGGUCAGGGGGUUGUAUCCAGUAGAGCAGCUCUUCGCUGCGAUCUGUUGAGACUUAGCCCUUGAUCGGAUGAUUUGUCUUUUUAUA
RNAcentral lists this ribosomal RNA (2974 nucleotides) under Meloidogyne arenaria. RNAcentral describes it as "eukaryotic LSU rRNA". It matches the Rfam family "Eukaryotic large subunit ribosomal RNA", at positions 540 to 3401 of the family's 3401-position model. The record is from RNAcentral. Lineage: Eukaryota; Metazoa; Nematoda; Chromadorea; Rhabditida; Meloidogynidae.